GCCUGGCUGGCUCAGUCGGUAGAGUGUGUGACUCUUGAUCUUGGGGUUGUGAGUUCAAGUUCCAUGUUGGGUA
This 73-nucleotide transfer RNA is filed under the name Ailuropoda melanoleuca (giant panda). It matches the Rfam family "tRNA". Rfam says of the family: Transfer RNA (tRNA) molecules are approximately 80 nucleotides in length. Their secondary structure includes four short double-helical elements and three loops (D, anti-codon, and T loops). Further hydrogen bonds mediate the characteristic L-shaped molecular structure. tRNAs have two regions of fundamental functional importance: the anti-codon, which is responsible for specific mRNA codon recognition, and the 3' end, to which the tRNAs corresponding amino acid is attached (by aminoacyl-tRNA synthetases). tRNAs cope with the degeneracy of the genetic code in two manners: having more than one tRNA (with a specific anti-codon) for a particular amino acid; and 'wobble' base-pairing, i.e. permitting non-standard base-pairing at the 3rd anti-codon position. Lineage: Eukaryota; Metazoa; Chordata; Mammalia; Carnivora; Ursidae. The record is from Rfam by way of RNAcentral.